This 592-nucleotide ribosomal RNA is filed under the name Salvadora grahamiae. RNAcentral describes it as "partial 12S ribosomal RNA". Lineage: Eukaryota; Metazoa; Chordata; Lepidosauria; Squamata; Colubridae. The record is from RNAcentral.
AUAAUACCUACGGCGUAAAACACGACUAAAUACUAGUCAACCCAUUAGAAAUGAAACAAAUCUGGGCUGUAAAAAGCCACAAGACAUAAUAACCACCACCUAAUGAAAAACAGCAUCCACUCGUGAAAGCUGGGACACAAACUAAGAUUAGAUACCUUACUAUGCCCAGCCAUAACACAACAAUUAAAUUACCCAUUGUUCGCCAAAUAACUACGAGUAAAGACUUAAAAUUUAAAAGACUUGACGGUACCUCACACCAACCUAGAGGAGCCUGUCAAAUAACCGAUACCCCACGAUUAACCCAACCCCCCCUAGCCCCACAGUCUAUAUACCGCCGUCGCCAGCUUACCUUAUGAAAGAAACAAAGUAAGCCAAAUAGUCAUACACUAACACGACAGGUCGAGGUGUAACUCAUGGGGGGGACCAAGAUGGGCUACAUUUUCUACAACAGAAAACACGGAUAAACCAUGAAAAAGAAACUGAAGGCGGAUUUAGCAGUAUAUUAAGAAUAAAAUACUUAAUAGAAACCAACGCAAUGAGGUGCGUACACACCGCCCGUCAUCCCUGCAAACUACCACUAUAAAUUCAUAAA